AUACUCACCUGGCAGGGGAGAGUCGGUGGUCACAAAGGCGGCUUUUCCAUGGGGAGGCUCACGUACUGGACUUGGAGUGUGCUGACCCCUGCGACUUCUCCAAACUCUCAUAUCUGAGGUUGUUCACAGACUUCAAAAAUUGUAUUUAUUUUCCUCUGGAAACG
Molecule: non-coding RNA, 164 nt
Organism: Arvicanthis niloticus (Nile rat)
Lineage: Eukaryota; Metazoa; Chordata; Mammalia; Rodentia; Muridae
Source: RefSeq, a predicted model, not a curated record